CAAGGUGCUCCCGCGAGGCAGAUUCUGGGACUGUGAGGAGCGGAGCGCAGUUUUGUGGAGGGUGUGGGACGUGGAGCGCUGGAAGGGGCGGCGGCGUUAAAGGACAGUCGGUGACGCUGUGUCUUAGCGCGUAGCGGAGGAAAACUAUUGCUGAGUUACGGCGCGAGUAAAUAAAAACCUAUCAUCGUGAACUCUAGGUCGCGCUUUCCCAGGCCACUGCCUUUCAACACCUGUUUUUCAUAUUUCAUUCUGACCCGCCUUCUUGGGUUGUAGGAAAUAACCUGGACGCAAGUGCUGGGACUGCUUCUUUAUGCAGUUCUCAAACAUGUUUCCUAUGUUCUGAUUUUCCUAGAGCUAAGACCACGGUAAAUAGAAACACUUGGCUCUUUCAUAGUUUUGAAUCUAGUGGGGAAGGUGAAAGAUUUUUCUUUUGUUUUUUUGAGGGUUUGCCAGUUCGUUAUUUUUAUUUAUGGAAGAUUUAACUAGCAGUUUUAAUACUAGCACAAAGUAGGCACUUAUUAGAUGUUUUCUUAAUGAAAGUGUGUUUCUGAACAUAUCCUUUCAUAGUUCUAACUUGAUAACCAUGCUCUAUGUGAAAUUACCAAAUAAGGAAGAUAUAGUGUACAAAACUAUCAAGUGCCUAAGGCCAAAUGGCAGGAUUACAUUCUUUUAGCAGUGCCGCUAACUAAUUGAGUGAGUCACUGGUUCAUAGUUGUUUUUGUCUUAUAACAAUAUAUCUAAAAUUAUGAGGUGAUUGGGAUUUCUAAUCUGUACUGAUAAAAAGUAUAAUUACCGUUCAACAUUUGAAAUGUAUAUUUCUAGAAUCAAAUAUGGAAAUUCAGGAAAAUAUGUUACAUAGUUAAUAAGUUAGCUGAAAUUACUAGAGAAAAAUGUUAUAACACUAAUAUGAAUAACAUAACCAGAAGUCAAUAAAAGGUAUAGAAUUGAUUCAUUUCCGAAAAUUGUAAAAAUGGUGACAGAAUCUUGCUUCCACAAUGAUUUAGUAUAAAGCUUAUGGAAGUUUUUUUUUUUUUUUCAUCCAUGUUGUAAGUUGCCCUUGUUGGACUUGACUGGGUGUUAACAAGACAGCUCAAAAGUACCUAACAAGGCCAUGUACAUUCAGUUUUGGCAACUUCCAGGACCAUUUCCAGCUCACAAAAUACCCAAAUUAUGCCUUUUAAUAAUAUAUACAGGAAUUUUACCUUGGAACCUGAAAAUAGCCUCAGUAAAAGAAAAAGACUUUUUUUUUUCUUUUAAAAAUUCAUAUUUGCUAACUCUGUAGUUUAUUUGCUGUCCUGCUGUGUUUGUCCCUGUAGGCUUUCAGAUCUGACUUUAUUUGUAUCAUUCAUCUUCUACAGGUAUCUUACUUAUCCAGUGGGAAGGGAAGUGCCAUCCUUUUCUUAGUUUGCAGGCUUCUCUGACCAAUGGACUUCAAUGGAAUUAGUUUAAAAAUGUUUAUUGUAUCUUCUUCAUUACAACUUUAUUUUUUUACAAUUCUAAAACACUUCUUGCAAAUUUUAGAAAUUUAAAGUAGAAAUGUAGAAAUUUAAAAAUUAAAAACAAGGAGGAUUAAAAACAAAAUUUAUGGGACUGGGAAUGUAGCUCAAUAUUAGUUCUCUUGCCUAGCAUUCAGGGGCCCUGGAGUUGAUCCCCAGCUCUUCAAAGGAAAAAAAAAAUCAUUCUGGAGGCUUGAUCACAUAAUUCAAGUUAAAAUUUUGAUUCGCAGCACUGCAAAACAACAAAUACAAACGUACACAAACUAAAUUUAUAAUGCUGCAACUUAUGGAAAACUACUCCUAACGUGUUAAUUUUUUUCAUGAAUUUUUAUGUAGGUUAGACCAUACUAAAUGCUAGGUUUUCUUUUUGCUCAUUUACUGUGAUUAUCAUUAUUUUACAGUGUUAUGACUUCUUCAUAAAUAUAAUUUAUUUUUUUCCCAGUGCUGGGGAUUGAACCUAGGGCCUUGCACAUAUAGGUAAGUGCUUUAGUACUGAGCUACAUCCUUAGCCCUGUAAGCAUAAUUUUAAGUGGCUAGUCAAUAUUACAGUGUGUCUGUAUUCUAUUUUCCAUAAGUAUUUUGCUGUUCUUUGACUGUUUGGUUAAUUGCUGUGAAUUGCAUCUUUGUGCACAGGAUUUUUUCCAUUCAAAGGCUGGAUUUGCAUGCUGCAAAGAAUGUGGUGCUACUGAGCAUUCUUUUACUAAUUUGUGUAGAAGAAUUUUUAUUUUAUGACCCAACCUUUAGCAAACUUAAGGCAAGUGAAUUGGCGAUAUUAAUACAAUGUAGUAAAUUUAUUUCAGAGGUAGGUUUUGUUUGAUAUGGCAGCACCCAGUAAGGAAAGAAGGGAUUAAACAGGAAGGUUUUUUGAAGGAAAUGUGUCCAGGUACACUCUGAAGGAGAAGUAGUGGUUGGCUUAGUGAAGAACAGAGGAAGGUCUCCCAGGCAGUGGAGACAAUAUAUUAAAAAACUGAGCAUCAGGAAAAGCCCAGGAACUGCAAGUGGCUGAUACAAGUGAAAGCUGUAUGGGAAGCAAGAGGAGAGACUGAAGUAGUGGGCAGGUUUUAGAUCAUGAAAGGCUUUGUGUAGCAACUGAAGAGGUGGAUUUCUUAAUGACAAUAGAAAGUCAUUAAUGAAUGUCUGUACAUCAUCAGUGUUUGCUUUUUAAAGGUAAUUUAAGUUAGAAGCAACAUAGCUUUUUUACUUAUAUGAAGAAAGGAGGGUCCAUGCAAUGAUUUUUCUGAAGAAGUGAUAAUAUGCAGCUUUAAAAAGAAAUAUAAAAUGUGAGACAUCAUUGUAUUGUGGGCUGAAUACCAUGGAACUGGAUCAAGGAUCCAUUAAAUCCAGACAUAGAAUUUGGAGUUAGGUAUAAGGAUGGAUUGAUGAAUAAGAGAAGGAGAGGAGGGGCUCAAUAGUACUUUACUGUUUAUCCUGUGUAGUUCUAAAUGGUUGCUAUUUAGUGGCUGUAUGUGAAGGUAUAGUAGCCCAUAAUCCCAGUCCUUGGUGAAACGAGUCCUUGAUUUCGAUGAUGAAAAGUGUAUCUAGACAUUUCAAGACUUUUCUUAUGGCUAUGCAUGGUCCUGCCUCUCUUGUCUUAAACUCUAAGACCAGAUUAUAAAUUGAAGCCAUCAUUGUCUCUUGGAUUAUUUUACAGACCACAAAGGGCCUGGUAAGGCUGAUGAAUUCCCCAAAGCAGUCUGGGCAGAUUCCUAGGAUUUUAGGCCACACCAAAGAGUUUCACAUCUUUAUUAAUCUCUUACCAGAUUGCUCUACUUUCUCUCUUGGGGGAAGUCCACGUAUGCAUCCUAGAAGGUCUAUGGAGUGAAUAUAGUAAGGAGAACUAGUCUUUAUAAAUAGCCUUUAGAAUCUAAUUUUUUAGUUCUUUGACUCUUCAGUUCCAGCUUUCACAUUUGUUUCUGUAUAUUGAUUUUAUCUUCUUAACAGAUAAAGGUUAUGUAAGUCAGGUGAAUCCAAGCUUGGCAAUGCUAAAGUAGAUAUUUUUUUGUGUGUGUAUUGCUGUAUGUGACUUUUAAAGAUGGUGAAAGACUUUUGCUUUCCACAGAAUUUCUCAUUGCGUGGUUUCUUUAUAAACUAUCUAUGGAUGUUCAUCACACAUCUGUUGGGUGAGAUGUUUGGGUUUUGAGGGUUCUAAGCCAGCCAGUAACGUCAUGAAAUCGACCACUGUGUCAAUGUUAUGCUUCUGGAUGGUUGUGUCCUUCAACACACAUAAGACACUCAACCAGCUAAAAGAGAUGAGCUCAGAGAUGUUGGCUCGGAGGAAAAGAAGAAUUACAUUGAGGUCAUUGAUUGGGCAUCCCAGCAUCUUUCUGCUGAGGAGAUCAAAAGCUGGGAGCAUCUCAUAUACAGAUAGGAGUCGUUUGUCCCACUGACACAGCCGUGUGAAGUUGUAUAUUAUCACAGGAACCAAUAAGGUGUAUAUUGCUGCACUGGAGAGGCUGACAAUCUGAAAAAUGGAUAGGGAGGUCAGCCUGCAUGUAAUCAGGUCAGGAACAUGGGUUUCAUCAUGUAGUAACCCUGCCUUGAUGGAGCAGCUGAAUUCUUCUUGGAAGAAGACAUCCAGAUGAAAGUGGCCAAGGUACAGGUAUGUGGCUGAGGUAAAGAGGAGCAAAAGGGAGUUCCUCAGGAGGUAGGUGGCCACUAGUGAAUGUGAGCGCUGCUUACAUGCCAGGUACCGCUCUAGUAGGGGGAAUUCAAAGUAUCGUUCUUUUCGGGCCCUGCACAGGGAAAGAAAGGAGGAAAGUUAGGAAGCACCAUAUGUAGAACCAUAUCCCAAGAGUCAUGUGGGAAACUAACAAAUAUGUGCAUUCAUUAUGGAAUUCUUGGUUAAUUGAAGAUCUGCUUUCCCCAAGCAUAACCAUGAUUCUUCUCCCAAAAGAUGUAAGUAUAACUCAUUUCUCCAAGUACUGAGUACAAUGUGAUAAACCUGGGGGAUGAUUGAUGAAUAAUGAACGAUCACUUUGGAUUUUUGCCCAGCAAGUCAUGCACUAAAGCUGUAAGCAGAAAUAGGACCCUUUGGAAGCAAUAGGCUAAUAAAAUUAGCACUGGAUUGGGAGUCUAAAUGUGUUCUAGAUCUUGGCUGUGUACUCUCUGUAUGGUUUUUGGACCAGUUCAUUUAUUUUAUACAAAUGAGUGUGCUGACAAGUAUUUGUUGAGAAUUGUGGUGUUCAGGUAGGUAAACCAGUCUCUGUUCCAAAGAAGCUUAGAGUCUUGUUGUGAGGGAAGGAGUAGACAAAACAUGCAAAUAUUCAAUGAAAUUAACACUUGAUAUGUUGCUAAAUUGAUUGAUACAAACCAUAGUCAUUACAAAAGUUAGGAGAUGGAGUAACAGUGCAGGUUGGAAUGUGCAGAAAACUUUACAAGAGAAUAUUGGCUUAAAGCUGGGCUUCAAAAGAUAGAGGGGAACUUUUUAGAGAGUAUAUAGUGUGUGCAUAAAUGUGAAACAAUAUGAUUUCAAAUCAUGGCUCAAUUAUGGUCACUCUAUUUAAAGCUACUGUUAAUUGUUCAGCUUUCCAGAACCCCUUCCCCUGUUUUACUUUUUCUUCAUACUAGUUAUCAUCCCCUAAUGUAUUUUACUGGUGUGUUCUACUUUUUGUCUGUUUUCCCUCUAGUAAAUAUAAGCUCCACAUGAAUAAUGAUAGCUUUGUUGCCCCCCCCCCCACCAUGUAUCCAAAGCACCCAGUAUAGUCUCUGAUACUCAGAUGUAUGAAUAAUGCACUAAAUAAAUGAUUUUUUUUUCCAGUGGAAAAGAGGGAGACUGCUUAGGUAGAGUGAAAGGUUUCUGUCAUCUGGUUGAGUAUCCCUUAUUUAAAAUGCUUGGGACCAGAAGUGUUUCAGAUUUUGAAGUUUUUCAGGUUUGAGAAUAUUUGCAUAGAUUUUACUAAAAAUACUCAAAAACUUUUCGAUUUUGACCAUUAUGGAUAUUGGAUUUUUGGGUUUGAAAUACUCAAUGUAUAGUUAGUUAGAUGCUUGAAAAAGUAGUUGGAUAUGUUGAAGCAAAUAUUUAGGAGAUUUUGGGUAGUUUUGGUAGAUCUGGGAGGAGCUAUUUAAGGUUUCUGAGAAGAGGAAUAGUGUAUAGAAGUGGGUAUUUUAGAGAGAUUAAUCCCUUUGUGGCUCAGAGUGUUCAUCUGUAAACUGCAGGUAGCAGGCCUUUCUCCUCUCUCUUUACAGGAAUGACAGUUCAUGAGAUGAUGGUAACUUUGCUCCCUUAAGAAAGAUAACAUAGAGGACAUUUUAAAGAUUAUGGUGCAUGGGUACCAUUUUAUGCUUAACUGCAUUCUUCAAGAAAAGACUGAAAAAACAACUCACUUUUCCAGUUCAUCCCAGAAGACAAGCGGGUCAGAGCUCUUCUGCCGGAUCUUCAACAUGUGCUGCACCAGGCGGAUGGAACGAUUAUAGGAUUUGUCUAGUUCGCUGAUGAUGAACAGCAGAUCUGAGCUGAGGGCUGGAACAGCUGCAUACUGCCACAGCAGUACUGGCAGGCCUGAAUUCAUCUAGAAUUGUUUUUUUUAACGAAUGAGAUGGAGGUGAAGGCACAGAAUUUUCCGUGUGUGACUCAGCUCAAUUUAUUGAAAAGAUGAUCCGUUGCUUGUGGUAAUGUACUUUUAUUAUUGCCAUAAAUCAGAAUACUAUCUUCUAGUUAACAGUUUGUCUUUUGGUGCUACUAUUACUACAUAGCUUUAACUACUGUAGCUUUAUAAAAGGUCUGUAAUAUAAAUCUCUCAGUUUUGUUUUUUUCAAGAUUGCUGUGGAUAUUCUUGACAUUUUGCAUUUCUAUAUGAACUCAUCGAUUUCAGGGGGAAAACCUGCCAGAAUUUUUUAUUAGAACUUUUAAAUCUAUAGCUUAAUUUGGUAAAAUUGAGAUCCUUACACCUCAAAGCUUUCGAAUCCAUGAAUGUAACAUAUCCCUCCCUUUGUUGAGUUCUUAAAUUUUUAUUCAUUGAAAUUUUUAGUUUUCAGUGGAUUUCUACACAUCUUCUGUUGAAUUUAUAUUGCUAGAUAUUUAAUAUUUAUUGAUAUUUUUGCUAACUGAAUCUUUAAAACUAUUUGAUUUUCUAAUUGUCUAUAGUAUAUGGAGAUAAAACUGACUUUUAUAUAAUGAUUUUGUUUUUGACAAACCUGUUACAUUUAUUUAUUGAUUCUAAUGUAUAUUCAUUUGGAUUUUCUAUCUAUAUAAUUAUAUCAUCUAUUAAAAAUCAGUUUUUCUCUUUCUAAUCUAUAUGUCUUUAUUUUUCUUGCUUUAUUGCAUUGAUUAGGAUCUCUAAUACAAUACUGAAUGUAAAUGUGACAGUGGAUAUCUUGACUUGUUCCUUAGGAAGAAAGUUUAUAACAUUUCACUAUGGAGUUAGGAUGUUUAUUGUAGGCUUGACUGGGCUGCAGUAUGUAUUUUGAAACUCAAUCAGUGGUUAUUGGCUUAGAGUCUCUUCAUAGGGUGCCAUGGCAACUGAUUUUUCCAGUGCAGGUAAUCUGUCAAAGAGAGAGAGACAAACACACACACACACACCAGCUAGCCAUAAUGCCUCUUGUGACCUGAUCUCUGAAAUUGCAAUUGCUACUUCUGUUUUUUUUUCUUUUUCACUAGGAGGAAAUCAUUAUUUCUGGCCCACUUGCAAGGGAAAGUAAAUGUGCUCUAUAUUUUGAAGAAGUAUCAAAUAAUUUGGGUACUAUUUUAAGCCACUAUGUUAUGUAAGUGAGAUUUUUUUUGAAGAAGUUGUCUACUUUUAAAUGCAAAUGUCAAAUUUAUUGAAAUACCAUCAUUAAUAAUAUCCCCUUAUAUCAAUAUUUUAGUUUGUGGUUUAAAUAAACAACAAAGUUGAAAAUUUACAGUGAACACCUGUAAUUUGUAGUUCUAUCAUUAGCAUUGUACUUGGCUUCCUUUGUUAUUCGUUUGUCCACCCCUUCAUCUACUCAUCAAUCCAUUCUUUUUUAAAAAAAAAUUUAUUUGUUCUGCUUAGAUAAACAUUACAGUAGAGUAUAUUUCACAUAUUGUACAUACAUGGAGUGUAAUUUAGGAUACUGUUCUUGUGAUUGUACACGAUGGGGAGUUACACUUGUAGACGUAAAUGCUCUUCUCCCUAAAUAUUUCUGCGUGUAUGCAAUUAACUAUAUUUCUGCAUUCUUACAGUCUAUGUUGUUAGAGGUAAAAUUUAUAUAUAGUAAAAUGCACAAAGUUUAAGUAUGCAUGCAUGGAGUUUGAAAAAUGUAUACACCUGUGUAAUCUGUACUCCAUUAAGGUUAGUGCAUUAUUAUCAUUCAAGAAAAUUUCAUUUGAUUUUUUUGUGGAGAUCCCAGUUUUCUGGUGAAAAUAUCCAUACUUCAAAUUCACCCACCUUUUAUUUUCUUGAUUUUACUAAUCAGAGUUAUUUAAAAAUCUCUAUCAUAGACUCCAAAUCUGGAAUAUUCUAUUUGCUUUUACUGUUUACUUCAUGUCUUCAUUAUUGGUCAUUAUUGUAGUCUGGAUCUGGGAAGUUUCCCAAGACCCAUGUGUUAAAGUCUUAGUCCUCAGCCUGCUACUAUUAGGAAGUAGCAGAAGCUAAGAGGUGGUACUUAGUGAGAGGUCUUAAGUCAUUUGGGGUGUGUCCCUUCAAGGAGAUUGUGGGACCCUAGACUUUUCCUCUUUCUCUCUCUCUUUUGCUUUCCAGCCACGAGGUAGGCAAUUUUCUUUGCUACACACUCCCACCAUGAUGUGUUGCCACAGGCCCACAGUAGUGGGGCAGGGGGGUGUCAAUUGAUUAUGGUCUGAAACCUCUAAAACUGUGAGCCAAGGCAAACUUUUCUCUUCAUAAAUUAUUUCAGGUAUUUCUUACAGUAACAGAAGGUUGACUAAUAUAAUCAUAUACUUUUAACUCUUUAUACAUGGAGUAAUUAUGUGUUAUAUACCAAAUAUUGUGUAUGAAACAUAUGGUUCUUUGGUUUUUAGAUAAUGCUAUCUUUCACCAAAGGUGGUUCUCCUUCCUUCUGUUAGGCAUCAGGAAUGAGAACUGAUCACAAUUCAAUCAGGAACUGAACAUGAUUAGACUUGUAUUGGAGUUCUAGUAAGAUUCAGUCUAUAUUAGUUUUUAUCAUUUCUAAACUUGACCUUUCCAGAUGUUUUAUUGAGUUAGUUAAACUGUUGUCUCUUAACUUUCAAAAGACUUAGAAGUUUUAUUAUCUUCUCUGGAGGAUUUCCAUUUAGCUCUUUAUUUUUCUACCUCAGGUAGCUUCAAAAUAUGACAAAUGUUUUGAAGGGGAGACUAGGUCAGAAAGUAUAUAUCACUGAUAUUAAUGCAAGUCCCUCAAAAAAUAUCUUUGUUUCCUAAGCACCACAGGGUAUAGGUAUAGGAGAUUUCACUUAGCAUUUUUAGAAGCUUUUGUUCUAGUCCUCAGUCCAUACAACUCCAGCAUUCAGCAAAUGUCCUAUGGGUAAAACUGGCCAUGUGUUUGAAGUCCCUCAAGUUUCCAAAUGUCACACCACUCCUUUAAUAACCUUUGAAAGCUUUGAUGGCUCAUUUAUCCCCAACAGAUGCUCUGUGCUUGGACCAAGGCCCAUGACAAGUUGGUGGUCAGAUGCAGAAGAUUCCUGUAGGUUAAAAGUUCCUGGAGAUUGUCAUUUUGCCUCAGCAUGGUUCUGUCCUCUCAGAAAUUUCCCUUUAUCUCACUCUUAUUUCUUCCAUAGCUUCCUGAUAGCCACAAAAUACAAUUUUUAUAAUUAAUAUAUUUUUUUCUAUUUGUUGCUUCAGGAGCAUUUACCUGCCCUACUGUACUGCACUUUACUCAAAAGUCUGUGCUUUAUAAUUUUAAUAUACAUAAGUGCUGUUCUGUUUUAUAUCUCAUUUUUUUCUUAGUUUUGAAACCUUAGCAUUGUCCCUCUAAAGUCAAUCCCUGUUGCUACGUCCAUAGCUAAUUUGUUGUUUCCACUACUGUAUUACACUUAACCUACUCAGUCGUAUAUUGACAGACACUCAUUUUGCUCCUACUCCUUGUAUCGUAAUCAAUGUAAAUUUCCUCUUAUGGUCUCAUAAGAGAAUUUAGUUGAUAUACCCCUCUAGGAAUAGAAUAUCUAGGGAUACUGAUCUAAAAUAGUAUUAUUUUAAUUUAAAUUUCUGUUAAUUAAUUGAAUAUCUCUUAUAUGUGUCUUAACCAUUUAUUUCUACUAACUAUUUAACAUACUUUAAAACUUGACAACUUCAAACAGUGAACAUUUAUGAUUUUCCAGUUUCUGUGGAUCAGGAGUUUGAUAGCAACUUGGCUAGGUUGCUCAGAAUUGCUUACAGAGUUGUGUUCAAGAGAUUGGCUUUGUUCAUUGAAGGCUUGGCUAGGUUUGCAAGAUUCAAAUCCCAGAUAGUUCACUCACAUGAUUUUUGGCAGAAGGGUUCAGUGUGGCAGGAGGCCUUUCUUUCUUGCUGCAUGCCCCUUUCCAUAGUUGUGAUUGAGAGUUCUCACUAUAAGGCAUAUGGCUUUUUCUGAAGUGAGCAAUCCAAGAGAAAACAAGGCAGAAGCAUUAAAAAUCUCAGUCUAUAGAAGAAUCACAGAGAUGCUGUUGAAGACUUUGGAUUUGCCCUUUGUGAAACUGAUGAAGAAGAUGCUGAAGAAAAAAGGUAUAGGAAAUAAGUACUUUAAUCUAGUGACUACAAUAUUCAAUUGAGCCAUGAAGAACUUUGUCAUAUUAAUAUCAUAUAUGCUAGUGCAUGAGAAAAGGAAUGGCUGAUGAGUUGAUGAGUAACUCAGAAAAGUAUAUCUUUUUUAAAGAAUUAAUUUUUUUAGUUAUAGAUGGACAAAAUACCUUUAUUUUGUUUAUUUAUUUUUUUAUGUGGUGCUGAGUAUCAAUCCCAGUGCCUCACACAUGCUAGGCGAGCGCUGUACCACUGAGCCACAACCCCAGCACCAGAAAAGUAUAGUUUUAAUACAAGUUGUUGAACUACUCAAUCCCAUUAUAAAUUCCACAACAAUUGGAAGGGAGCCGACUUGAUGAAAUGACAGCAGCUGUUGGUCAGCAUGUAAUGCACAGCCAUGACAAAUAUAAGGAUAUAGAGCUGUGAUAUGUAGUCUUCAACACAAAGUUGUGUUUUUCUCUAAUAUAAAGUUCAUCAGUAUUUUAGGAGUAAUAAUAAAACAGUUAACAGAGGUCCACAAAUAAUCAAUUUCUGAUGAAGUAGUACAUAGAGGUAUGGAGCUGAUAAGAAAAAUAAAAUGAUCAAGGUUUCCCACUAUGAUGCUCAAAUAGAUUGUUCCUCAAAAAAGAGGAGCUUGGAAGCCUGCUUGCCUUGUUUCUGGGAAUGCAGUCUGUAGAGUAAUAUUCUGCUUUCAUUCUCCUUUAGGUUAGAGGCCUCUCCAGGUACAAGCAUAUCCCCCUUGGGACUGUUUUCUGUGUUUCACUUAUUUUAUUUACUACUAACAUUUUCUAGAAGUCAGGCUUGCUAGGGAGUAUUUCAGAGAUGAGGAUGAUUAGAGGAAGUGGGCAGCAACUGGAGUUUAUACUACCUAUAACCAGCUCACAUAUUUAGAGAUAAUUUUUUUGUGUGUUUCUUGGUUUUGUGAACAUAUAUUUUGCUUUAGUGAUUCCUUCUCAUAUAGGUAAUCUUACAAUUUUUAUCAGAAUGUAAUAAUGUAAAAUAAACAUUAUCGCAAAUCUG
Long non-coding RNA from Marmota monax (woodchuck), 11122 nucleotides. RefSeq lists it as uncharacterized. The transcript has 2 exons. The record is from RefSeq and is a predicted model, not a curated record. NCBI's taxonomy places the organism in Eukaryota, Metazoa, Chordata, Mammalia, Rodentia, Sciuridae.